UUUUCCAGGUGCAGACAAGAGGCCCGGUGUGCACCUCAUGACAGGAAGAUGGGUGCCUGAGAGGGACAAUUUAGUAAAAACAGCAGUGCAUUGGGGAAAGGCAAGUUGGGUCCAGGCCCCAGAGCUGAAUUGACCAUCAGCACCCUCCUUAUUCCAUGGCCUCCCAGCAAGGAGCAAUGCUUGGUUGAGCAGCUCAGUCACGAGAAGGGACAUGACAUGAGAGUCAGGUACACAGCCUUUGUGGUGGAUUUCUCACACACGAUCUCCCCAUCUGCUACCUACCUCCAACUUUGUCUUCUGUGUGUAUUCUUUUAACAGAAAUCAUUCAUUUUGAAAAAGGGAAAUCUAUUUAUUUUGGUAAAUUGCUUAAAGAAAAAUUUUUUUCUCAUCCAAAAAUGUGUACAGUAGCCUCUUACAGUUCCCAAUGAGCCUUGCAAUUCUACCUUCAGUGUUGGAUGUGAAGACUCAUGGUGACCAGCAUUGGGAGACCCUGUACGAAAGUGAGGCCAACAGAACUGGGCAGAGUGAGAAGUCGGUGCACCGAGGUGGCCUUCUGGACCUGGGACACUCUUCAAGGUUGUUUCAAACUGAGACCCGAUCACAGGUGGCUGCUUUCAAGCUCCUUUGGUAGAGUGGACUCACAACAGCCCCAGAGCCCAAAAUGUUUCUCAAGCCCUUUACUGAAAAGGUUUGAGGACUUCUGUUGCACACCACUUUGGGAAAAAAAAAUCUGCUUGCCAGCUGAGCAGAGACCCUCAGAGGUAGGAUCCACCUACCAGGCUGUGCACAUCCAAUUAGAAAAGCACAGUUCAGCAGCCGGACCUUAGGGACGCAUCGUAGAGGACGUUUGUACGUAAUACAUCAUAAGUGCAUUUAAACUGCACGGAGGAAUGCGGUCCGGCGUGUGAGCAUGUGACCCGGCCCAGAAAGCAACGCGGUACUUACUGCUUGAGCCUGACAAUGAAACGGGAUUGGUGCCCUUCAAAGAAUUCAUGGUUAUGUUUUCAUGGCUUCUGUCCUCUCUCCCGCCUUGCCUUUCAGUUGCUAGUGACAAUAAUCUAAGCGAAAAUCACCAUCUACCAGAUCACACAACUAUCCUCUGUGGCAGUCCUGAUGAACACAACUUAAGCUGGUAUCUCUAAGAACUUGAUCUAUGUGAAGCAUUGGUCUGUUUUAUAUGUACUUGCUUAAUCCUCAUAAGAACAAAUGGAAGUUGCACUAUUAUCUUCCCUGUUUUACAGAUUUGAAACUGAGGCACAGAAAUGUCAAGGAACUAGCUCAAGAUCACACAGCUGGAAAGUGACAGACCUGAGAUUAAAAUGUAAGCAGACAGGGACCAGAGUCUCCACUAUGCUCCCAAAUAACCUCUCAAUAGAUUGGUGUGUGAAGUACUUUUGAGAGGUAUAUGCAACAUGCACAGGAGUGGCAGCAGAACAUAGACUGUUUAUCUUCUGUUGAAAAAAGAUACAUUUAAAAGUUGAGGUAUUAGAAGAAAAGUUUAAAAAAGACUGGGGCAACCACUGUGAAAAUCAGUGUGGAGAUUGCUGAAAAAAACUAAGAUUAGAGGUUUCAUUUGACCCAGCUAUUUCCCUUCUGGGCAUCUUCCCAAAAGAAUUAAAAGCAUCAUACCACAGCGAUAUAUGUGCACUCAUGUUUAUAGCAGCACGGUUUGUAAUAACUAAAUCUUGGCAACAGCCCAAAUGCCCGUAGACUGAUGAAUGGAUAAAAAAGAUGUGUUUUUUAAAAUAAUGGGGUACUACUCAGCCAUAAAAAAGGAUGAACUCGAGACAUUUCUAGGUAAAUCGAUGCACCUCGAAAGCAUACUCUUAAGUGAAAUAAAUCAGACACAUUUGUAAAUUUUUUUAAUGGUUUUUUUUGAGAUAGGGUCUCACUAUGUAGUUGAGACUGAUCUGGAACUCACUAUGUAGCCCAGGCUGGUCUCGAACUCAUAAUGAUCCUCCUGCCUCAGCCUCCCGAGUGCUGGGAUUACAGGCAUGCGCCACCACUCCCAGCUACAUAUGUGUAAAUAUUGCAUUGUCUCUCUGGUACGAGAAGCUGAAAGUAUAAAUAAGAACGAAAAAGUAGAAUAGAUAUCAUGAAAUAGAAAUUAUUGAAAAUUAUGCUAUGUGAGAUACUUUGUUAAUAAUUUAAAUGUUUUAUGCAGAAAAGGUAU
This 2173-nucleotide long non-coding RNA is filed under the name Fukomys damarensis (Damara mole-rat). RNAcentral describes it as "lncRNA (ENSFDAG00000033595.1)". Lineage: Eukaryota; Metazoa; Chordata; Mammalia; Rodentia; Bathyergidae. The record is from RNAcentral.